RNAcentral lists this ribosomal RNA (292 nucleotides) under uncultured bacterium. RNAcentral's name for it is "partial 16S ribosomal RNA". It matches the Rfam family "Bacterial small subunit ribosomal RNA", at positions 505 to 796 of the family's 1533-position model. The record is from RNAcentral.
GUGUCAGCAGCCGCGGUAAAACGUAGGACACAAGCGUUAUCCGGAGUUACUGGGCGUAAAGGGCGUUUAGGCGGGUGAUUAAGUUCGCUAUGAAAGCGCCAGGCUAAACCUGGCGAGGCUGGCGGAUACUGGUCAUCUGGAGUAAGGAAGAGGAAGGUAGAAUUCCGCGUGUAGUGGUGAAAUGCGUAGAGAUGCGGAGGAAUACCAGUGGCGAAGGCGGCCUUCUGGUCCUUAACUGACGCUGAAGCGCGAAAGCAUGGGGAGCGAACGGGAUUAGAUACCCUGGUAGUCC